RNAcentral lists this unclassified non-coding RNA (972 nucleotides) under Hevea brasiliensis (rubber tree). Lineage: Eukaryota; Viridiplantae; Streptophyta; Magnoliopsida; Malpighiales; Euphorbiaceae. The record is from RNAcentral.
AAUAUUCCUUGCUGAAGAAUACAUUCACUUAAAAUUUAAAUUCACAAGAGGUUAUCAUGAGCUAUAAUGAAAUAAAAUAUUGAGUUACAAUCAUUAGUCUCCAGAAUUACUUAUUGACCUCAAACCCAGUCCCUUUCAUUAUAAGUUACAAACCAGUAGACGAAAUAAUUCAUUGUCUAGUACAGCUACUCAUCGUACAACAGGAAAAAGCAGGAAGUAUUGUUGUUUCAAAAGUUUCUCACAGUGUCGAUGGAUCUGAAAAGAGUAGCAAAACUUCCUUUCAGCUUAAGAUGCUUUCAGUUCAUCCAUUCCAACGCUGGCCAAGAACUUGUGGUUCUCUUCAAGAAGCGGUGAGAAAGUAGUACAGAAUUUUUCAAUGUCGCUAUUUAUAUCACCAGUCCCACAUAUUACAUCCAUAAAUUUCUUCCUGUCUGGAGCGAGCUUCAUAGCCACCGUAAAACUUGAACUCGCUAGCCAUCCAUGCCACUUUUUCAAUGUCUUGCUGUAGGAAUCAGAGCAAGCUUGUGACAUAGCCCAGUCCUGAUGCUCCAGUAAAUUUCUAAACAGUGCCACCAGAAAAUCCAUCGCCCUUGUCAACCAAAGAAGACCAUUUGUGCAACUGGAAGAGCCUUUUGCUGUCUUUGCCUCAACCUCUUCUUGCACCAUACUGUACAAAUUUGUAUAUUUUGUUGGGUUCGACAAGUACUUGUUUUCUAACCUCAUUAUAUUUCCACCAAUGUCAGACUUGACCAGUGCCAUGGCAGCUCCAAACUUUUCUAUAAUAGGUAAGAUGUGUUUGCAGACAUCUAAGAAAGGUGUGGUAAGCAUUACUCCUUCCUCAGACUUGACAUGCUUGAUUCCUUCUAAAGCAGGGGCAAAGACAGUGCCUUCCAUUCUUGUGCUUUAAAAAAGAUAUACCUUAUCAAUGUGCGCUCUCUAGAUUUUUGAGCUUCCGACGAACGCUACUGCCAA